CGAAGGGUGCAAGCGUUACUCGGAAUUACUGGGCGUGAAGCGUGCGUAGGUGGUGAGUUAAGUCUGUCGUGAAAGCCCCGGGCUCAACCUGGGAAUGGCGAUGGAUACUGGCUCGCUAGAGUGCGGUAGAGGAGAGUGGAAUUCCCGGUGUAGCAGUGAAAUGCGUAGAGAUCGGGAGGAACAUCAGUUGCGAAGGCGGCUCUCUGGACCAGCACUGACACUGAGGCACGAAAGCGUGGGGAGCAAACAGGAUUAGAUACCCUGGUAGUCCACGCCCUAAACGAUGCGAACUGGACGUUGGGAGCAAUCAGGCUCUCAGUGUCGAAGCUAACGCGUUAAGUUCGCCGCCUGGGGAGUACGGUCGCAAGACUG
RNAcentral lists this ribosomal RNA (372 nucleotides) under uncultured organism. Its description in RNAcentral is "bacterial SSU rRNA". It matches the Rfam family "Bacterial small subunit ribosomal RNA", at positions 526 to 896 of the family's 1533-position model. The record is from RNAcentral.